Molecule: long non-coding RNA, 483 nt
Filed under: Vigna radiata
Lineage: Eukaryota; Viridiplantae; Streptophyta; Magnoliopsida; Fabales; Fabaceae
Description: long non-coding RNA (VRAD_LNC013192)
Source: RNAcentral
GAAAUUCAAAUAAUUAUACAACAAACACAUAGGUUUUUCUUUAACAGUAAUUGCACAUAAUUUCAAGACAUGAAUAGUUAUGCAAAUAUAUUUUAUCAUAAUAUAAAAUCUUAGAAAGGUUAGCUCCCCUUACCUCUUUUCCAGACUUAGUUUCUUACUCAGAAGUUGUUCCCUCGAAAAUCCUCCAGAAUCUCUACUCUCUUUGCAACCAAAAUUUCUUCCUAAUUCUUUUCUUCUCUCCCUUUCUCUCUUUCUUUCUUAUUUCCUCUCCUUCUUGUGCAGAAUCCUUCUUCGCCCCCCUCCCCCCUUGACUAUUUAUAGCCAAAAAUUUUACUAUUCAACUUUUUUUUAAAUAUUAUUUUAUUAAAAAAAUAUUGUUUUAUUAAAAAAUAAUAUUUUAAUCCCACUUGCACCUAAAUAUAUCUGAUCAUUCUUGGCACCAACGUGGAAUGCUUAUCCUUGGGCACUAUUCAUUUUUUUAUU